This 356-nucleotide long non-coding RNA is filed under the name Mus spicilegus (steppe mouse). RNAcentral's name for it is "lncRNA (ENSMSIG00000008163.1)". Lineage: Eukaryota; Metazoa; Chordata; Mammalia; Rodentia; Muridae. The record is from RNAcentral.
AUAAUGCUUCUUACAUAAGAUGAUAAUCCAUUUUCAGUGUUGCUUCACGUCACAGCAGCUGCACUAUUUAACUAAGAUUCUGGCAAGGAUGGAAAUGGAAAACAACUUUUUCAUGUUUCCACGAAGUUAAUGGAAGGCUGGGUCACAACAGCUAAAGUUACCUGCUGGAUGGAGCCUCUCAGAGUACAGUGAUGCCAGGCUCCUGCCUGUGAAUCCAGGCUGACUGAUACCGACAUAACCUGAGGCUCCUAAGUUGUUGAAGGAGGAUUGACGGCCUGCGAUAUGUCCCUAUUGAUCCUCUAAGGACAGCUUAGCACUCCCGACCCCUCCAAAUUGACUUGUUAAAUCUGCUUAAG